RNAcentral lists this ribosomal RNA (253 nucleotides) under uncultured bacterium. Its description in RNAcentral is "partial 16S ribosomal RNA". It matches the Rfam family "Bacterial small subunit ribosomal RNA", at positions 524 to 776 of the family's 1533-position model. The record is from RNAcentral.
UACGGAGGGUGCAAGCGUUAUCCGGAUUAACUGGGUUUAAAGGGUGCGUAGGAGGGCAGGUAAGUCAGUGGUGAAAUCUCCAAGCUUAACUUGGAAACUGCCGUUGAUACUAUCUGUCUUGAAUAUUGUGGAGGUGAGCGGAAUAUGUCAUGUAGCGGUGAAAUGCUUAGAUAUGACGUAGAACACCAAUUGCGAAGGCAGCUCACUACACAAUUAUUGACUCUGAGGCACGAAAGCGUGGGGAUCAAACAGG